This is a non-coding RNA of Tulasnella sp. UAMH 9824, 103 nucleotides long. Lineage: Eukaryota; Fungi; Basidiomycota; Agaricomycetes; Cantharellales; Tulasnellaceae. The record is from the annotation of a GenBank genome assembly.
UCUUCUCUGGUAUAUCGGUAGAACAUCACCCUGUCAUAUCACGUGAUGAAAAGGUCACGUGAGCAACCCGGUGAAGAGCUGGGUUCGACUCCCAGGAGGAGAG